CCUCGGGGCUGGGGUCGCGAAGACCUGGGCGCGCGCCUCAGCCUAGUGUGCCGAGUGCCGCCGUCGGCGGGGACCCUGGGAGGCCCUGGUGCUCUUAGCCACUCCGAACUCGGCUUCCAGAGGGAGCUAACUCUGAAACCAGCAUCUCUUCUCCCCCAUUGCCUCCCGCUCCGAGUGAGCUAUUUCUCGCACCUUCUGCACGUGGAUCUCAACACCUGGGCGCUGGGAAAGGAGGUCGACUGCUUUAGAACUCCCCCUUGGAGCGGCCCAGCUCAGACCAAGGAACAGAAAAGAAGUUUAGUAAGUGGUUCCUAUGGAGACACUGAUGCUUGAUAUACCCAGUUACCUCCGUGUUCAAUUACUGAUGGUCUGUCGCAACUUGACAGAACUGAGAGGGGGUAACAUGCCAAGGAGCCAUGUAGGAGCCCAUUUGGAAGAGGACAAAACCCCAGUCUGCUCAGGAGCCUGAGCCACUCCCUCAAGCCAAAGAUCAGAAACAAAGCAGAUUUGGGAGGCUACAAUCAAGGUCAUUUGAGAAGUAAGACCCGGUGUCUUACCAUUACCUAUGGGUGUCCACAUAGAAAUUUAUAGACAUGGGAAAGGCUAGAUAAUGAGAAUGCUCCGUAAAGAGGCACCGUACUUCACCAGGGAGAAAUGCAUCCAAGUUUCUUCACAAAUGUUAAGAAAUAUGCCUAUUUAAUUGUAUGUUGCAUUUUCCAUGGUCUUUGCUUUAUUCAUUUCAUGUGCAGUGAUUAAAAAGAUAUAUUGUACAUUUUAUUAUCUCUUAUGUUUUCCAAUAAAUACAAACCUGACGUAC
This is a non-coding RNA of Leptonychotes weddellii (Weddell seal), 817 nucleotides long. Lineage: Eukaryota; Metazoa; Chordata; Mammalia; Carnivora; Phocidae. The record is from RefSeq and is a predicted model, not a curated record.